UACCAGGGCUUGACAUCCCUCUGACGGUGCUAGAGAUAGUGCUUUCUCUUCGGAGACAGGGGAGACAGGUGGUGCAUGGUUGUCGUCAGCUCGUGUCGUGAGAUGUUGGGUUAAGUCCCGCAACGAGCGCAACCCCUGUUGUUAGUUGCCAUCAUUAAGUUGGGCACUCUAACGAGACUGCCGGUGACAAAUCGGAGGAAGGUGGGGACGACGUCAAAUCAUCAUGCCCCUUAUGUCCUGGGCUACACACGUACUACAAUGGCGAAUACAAAGGGAAGCAAAGCCGCGAGGCGGAGCAAAUCCCCAAAAUUCGUCCCAGUUCGGAUUGUAGGCUGAAACUCGCCUACAUGAAGCUGGAGUUGCUAGUAAUCGCGAAUCAGCAUGUCGCGGUGAAUACGUUCCCGGGCCUUGUACACACCGCCCGUCACACCAUGAGAGUUGGCAAUACCCAAAGUACGUGAUCUAACCCGCAAGGGAGGAAGCGUCCUAAGGUAGGGUCAGCGAUUGGGGUG
This 512-nucleotide ribosomal RNA is filed under the name uncultured bacterium. Its description in RNAcentral is "bacterial SSU rRNA". It matches the Rfam family "Bacterial small subunit ribosomal RNA", at positions 972 to 1482 of the family's 1533-position model. The record is from RNAcentral.